UACGUAGGGGGCAAGCGUUGUCCGGAUUCAUUGGGCGUAAAGAGCGUGUAGGCGGCCAGGUAGGUCGGUUGUGAAAACUGGAGGCUCAACCUCCAGAGGUCGACCGAAACCAUCUGGCUAGAGUCCGGGAGAGGAGAGUGGAAUUCCUGGUGUAGCGGUGAAAUGCGCAGAUAUCAGGAAGAACACCCGUGGCGAAAGCGGCUCUCUGGAACGGUACUGACGCUGAGACGCGAAAAGCGUGGGGAGCGAACAGG
This 254-nucleotide ribosomal RNA is filed under the name uncultured bacterium. RNAcentral describes it as "partial 16S ribosomal RNA". It matches the Rfam family "Bacterial small subunit ribosomal RNA", at positions 524 to 776 of the family's 1533-position model. The record is from RNAcentral.